CCCGCCCAGCGGAAGGGCAGGGGAGGAGGGAGGGAAGGAGGGAAGGGAGAAGGGAAGGGAAGGAGGGACGGAGGGAGGGAGGCGCCGCUGUCACGGCCGCGCCGCGGCUCCCGCCCUUCUGGGCAUGUGCGGCGGGGGAAGGGAAGGGAGGGAGGGAGGGGAGGGAAGGGACGGGCCCGCGGCGGAGGAGGGGGGCAGCCCGGAGACCGGACCCCAAAGCCCAAACCCUGCACCAAUGUCAGCGCCUCGGCCCCGUGGUGAAGGCGGAGAGGGCUUGAGGCAGCGGGGAGCCCGCCCUGAUGGCCCUUCUGACCGACUGCAGCCCUGGCACCGAGCUAAAACUGUCAACAGCAGUCCCGCGAGAGGAAGCUUUUACCCCUGUGCUCGGUUUCAACCCAAAAACACACAGCAAUACGACUUCUUCUGCGUCAGAUCAGAUCGCUCAGCAGAACUGGCUUUCUGUCUGCUCUUGGAAAUAUAUGCAUAA
Molecule: long non-coding RNA, 487 nt
Filed under: Anser cygnoides (Swan goose)
Lineage: Eukaryota; Metazoa; Chordata; Aves; Anseriformes; Anatidae
Description: lncRNA (ENSACDG00005004812.1)
Source: RNAcentral